RNAcentral lists this ribosomal RNA (432 nucleotides) under Triticum aestivum (bread wheat). RNAcentral's name for it is "partial small subunit ribosomal RNA". The record is from RNAcentral. Lineage: Eukaryota; Viridiplantae; Streptophyta; Magnoliopsida; Poales; Poaceae.
AUGGCGCACAGCAGUGGCAGAGGCCUGCGUAGACAGCAAGCCGGUAGCCGGCGGAUCAACGCAGCCAAGCGAAGCUGGAAGGGUGGCCGAGGUCGCAGCCACUAUGGUGGAGGAGCAAGGCAACUUGAGACGGUGGAGGAGCCCAGAGGCGGGCCGCAGCGUGAAGACGGUGAUGACUCGGGAGCAUACGCGAUGCGGUGGAGGCAAAUCGGGGCCAUGCUGGAGACAAGCGACUCGGAGCAGAGGCUCGGAUGCGGGGAGGCCGCAGGAGCCGAUCGGAGUGGAACGGAGCAGGCCACGGUCACGGCGGCUCAGGCGCAACCAUGGCGGCUCAGGCGGGGCCACGGUGGCUCAAGCGCGGGGACGGGGACAGAGGAGCAAGGCCGCAGGGCGACUUGUGGAGGCCGGCGGCUCAACAGGGCCUGCGGUUAA